UUGAAAGGGAAACGAUUGAAGUCAGUCAUGCUGGUGGGAAUCAACUUAGGGGAAACUCUGGGUGCACUUCUUCGCUUGGCAGGUCAACGUCGAUUUUGAAUGUCAUAAAAUAAUUGGGGAAGGUAGCUCCUUCGGGAGUGUUAUAGCCCUUGAUAGAUGUGAUGUUUGAGGUCGAGGAUUGCAACGGAUACCCUUUGGGGCUAGCUGCCUGAUCUCUAAUUGGUGUUGGGUUACGGAUAGCAUGCUGACCGUGAUCUAAUUACUGGUUAAAAGGUUAGAGUAUGCAUAAAUUCGUUAAGGAUGUUGACGUA
This 311-nucleotide ribosomal RNA is filed under the name uncultured Glomeromycotina. RNAcentral's name for it is "LSU rRNA". The record is from RNAcentral. Lineage: Eukaryota; Fungi; Glomeromycota.